RNAcentral lists this ribosomal RNA (253 nucleotides) under uncultured bacterium. RNAcentral describes it as "partial 16S ribosomal RNA". It matches the Rfam family "Bacterial small subunit ribosomal RNA", at positions 524 to 776 of the family's 1533-position model. The record is from RNAcentral.
UACGGGGGGGGCAAGCGUUGUUCGGAAUUACUGGGCGUAAAGGGCUCGUAGGCGGCCAACUAAGUCAGACGUGAAAUCCCUCGGCUUAACCGGGGAACUGCGUCUGAUACUGGAUGGCUUGAAUCCGGGAGAGGGAUGCGGAAUUCCAGGUGUAGCGGUGAAAUGCGUAGAUAUCGGGAGGAACACCAGUGGCGAAGGCGACUUCCUGGCCUGUUCUUGACGCUGAGGCGCGAAAGCUAGGGGAGCAAACGGG